CUGAGAAAAAUCCCUCGUUUGUUGUAUGAACCAUCUGCAGUCAAGUAUGCUAUUCCUUGCAGCUGAGGGGCAUUCCUAAAUGCCACAUUGGUUAAGGAGGUCUCCUUCUGUCACUAGUUUACUGUUUUGCCUGAAGUAGGCACUGGGAUUUGAAGUUCAAAGCCGAACGCAAGCCCUUGAACCAGAGCAGGUGGGUCAUCUUGAAAAUGUUUCCUCCAAUGAGAAGCAGGAAGCUUGCAAGUGCUCCAGCAGUAGGGAUCAGGAGGGGUGGCUACUGCCCCCGGGUGCCCUCGGAGCCUUCAGCCCUCGCUCCCGCCCACAGCACAGUGAGGGGCUGGGCCAAGCUGCUGUGCUUCACGCGGCAGGAGUAGGAGUCGGAGCCGGAGCGGGAGGCUCUGUCCUGCGGGGAAACUGACAUCACCACCCAGGACUGGUUAUUAGUGGCUGUCCCAGGUGAUGGGACGAUUGGGGAGAUCAAGACCGACGAUGUUCUAGCUUUCAUGGAAUUUGCAUAGGUAAGUUUUGUGGAAUCUUUUGAAGGUUCCAAUUUCACAGAUUCAGACCAGAUAAUUAAGAACAUGUUCAUUGUCAAACAGCUAGUGACUGGCCGGGCCACCAUGUGAACCCAGGUCUGACGGACCCCAGGGUUAGCUCACUCUUCCCAACAUCCCUGGGCAAGGGAGCCUGAUGCCUUCUAAAGUAGGAUCAGCCUCAGACAGGUUGGGCUGUGCAGCUGAGAGGUGACGCAUGCCGGGAUGAGAGCUGACUCUGACAUCACUUCCUGUCAGAGCUGAGGCCUGGGAGUGAGGAUGGGAUGGGAUGGGAUGGGGCAGGAGGAAAGCGGAUGCGCUGUGGGGUUGGGGGGAUGCAGAGUGUCUGCGUAUUUCUACCCUGCUCUCCGUUCCUCCUUCGGGACGGGGAUUACUUCCAUCCUGCUGACCCCUUUCCACUCACCCCUGCAGGGCUGCCUCUUGAGCUAAGACCCUCCACCCCAGCAGUCCACGGUCCACUGACCUUCUGUAUCCUUGUAAUAGUCCAUGAUGUCCUUCAGGGUCACCAUGAAGAUGUCCUCCCUGGCCUUCUGAAGUUCACUCUCGUUCUCCCAGUCCUCUAUUCCUUCCAUCUGGCUCCAGGGGUACGAGGGUAUGGCCUUCCUAUCUUCACUGUCAUAGUGAAAGAAAUCCUGGUCAUUGAGGUAGGCCGUGGCCUGGAAGCUGAGGAAGCCGUCCCUGGGCUUGGACAGCCCAGUGUAGAAGAAGCUCAGAGAGUAAGGCCCUGAAAAAGAGGAGAAGACUUUGAGGUGUGGGGUCCAUGCAAGGGAUGCCCAAUGUGGGGCAGCAGAGGGCCAGAAAGGGGGCUGUGGCCACUGGGUCUCGUCCUCCCCAGCCCUCAGCCUCACCACUCUGGAGGCUCACCCAAGUGCAAAGGGCCCUACCUCUAUCCUGGGUAUGGUACUUCAGACACCAUUGUGUUUUCACUUUAUUGUUUCUUCUUGACACAUAAGAAGGUAAUAUUUCUCAGCCUCCUUGUAUGUAUUUUGGGAUCAUGCGACUGCAUUCUGGGGAUGUGAGUGGGAGUGAUGUGCAUUCUGGGGAUGUGAGUGGGAGUGAUGUCUUUCUUCUGGUCUGAGGCCCUAUUAACUGGUUUGUUCUGUCUUUCUUUUAUUUAUGUGAUGACUGUGGAGACCUCAGGAUGAAACCAGGAGUCCGAAGGUGCAAAUAUCCCAGAUUCCUGAGUCACGCCAGGGAAGACAGGAACGUUGCCUUAUCUGUAUUCACUUUACACAAGCAAGAAAUAAACCACUUGUUGGGUUAAGCCACUAAAAACUUUGUUACUGGAGCACAACUUAAUCUAAGACAUAGAAUUCGAAUGUGUAGGAAGAAUUUACCAGAAAACUCAGGAGAUGACCUAGAAUGGAUUGGCACAGGGUAAGGCCAGGAUCUGGAUCUCAGAAUUCCCAGGGUUGUACCUUGCGUUUUGGUGUGAGGCAGGGGCUUGGAGAGGGGGGACAUUUCCAAUUAAUUCAGGAUAUAACUCACAUUGGGGUUAAUAAUGUUGGAGGUUCUAUGGAUGAUUCCUAGUUCAAGUACUGAAAUUAUUCUUGCUAAUUAGUUUCUCAGUGUGAUUAACUUUAGACCUCGUGUAAAGCAGAUUACCCUUCACAGUGGGUGGGCCUCAUCCAAUCAGUUGAAGGCCACAAGAAAGAAGCCCAGUCCCCCAAAGAAGAAGGAAUUCUGCCUCCACACUGCCUUUGGACUCAAGAUGGCAACACUGACUCUUCUCCGGGUCUCCGACCUGCAGAUUUCAAUUGUGCCAUCCAGUUCCUUAAAAUCAAUCUCUUUUUCUGUAUUUACAUCUUGUCUGUUCUGUUUCUCUGGAGAGCCCUGACUAAUACAGAUUUUGGU
Leptonychotes weddellii (Weddell seal) is the source of this 2405-nucleotide non-coding RNA. The record is from RefSeq and is a predicted model, not a curated record. Lineage: Eukaryota; Metazoa; Chordata; Mammalia; Carnivora; Phocidae.